GAUUAAGUGUCGUAAGGGCAUUUGGUGGAUGCCUUGGCAUGCACAGGCGAUGAAGGACGUGAUACGCUGCGAAAAGCCGUGGGGAGCUGCGAAUGAGCUUUGAUCCAUGGAUCUCCGAAUGGGGCAACCCACCUUAAAUGCUUGGAAAAUCAUUCUGGUUGUUUGGCCUCUGGCCGGGCAACCCGAGUGGUUUCCAAGCAUUGUGAUAAGGUAUCUACACCUGAAUACAUAGGGUGUAAGAAGCGAACGCAGGGAACUGAAACAUCUAAGUACCUGCAGGAAAGGACAUCAACCGAGACUCCGCAAGUAGUGGCGAGCGAACGCGGACCAGGCCAGUGGCAAUUGUGAUUAAAGUGGAACGCUCUGGAAAGUGCGGCCGUAGUGGGUGACAGCCCCGUACGCGUAGAUAUCACGAUUGUCCUAGAGUAGGGCGGGACACGAGAAAUCCUGUCUGAACAUGGGGAGACCACUCUCCAAGCCUAAGUACUCGUGCAUGACCGAUAGCGAACAAGUACCGUGAGGGAAAGGUGAAAAGCACCCCGACAAGGGGAGUGAAAUAGAACCUGAAACCGGAUGCCUACAAACAGUCGGAGCCCGCAAGGGUGACGGCGUACCUUUUGUAUAAUGGGUCAACGACUUAGUGUAACAAGCAAGCUUAAGCCGGUAGGUGUAGGCGAAGCGAAAGCGAGUCUGAAUAGGGCGAUUUAGUUUGUUGCAUUAGACCCGAAACCGAGUGAUCUAGCCAUGAGCAGGUUGAAGGUUGGGUAACACCAACUGGAGGACCGAACCCGCAUCUGUUGCAAUAGAUUGGGAUGACUUGUGGCUAGGGGUGAAAGGCCAAUCAAACUCGGAAAUAGCUGGUUCUCCGCGAAAUCUAUUUAGGUAGAGCGUCGAGCGAAUACCCCCGGGGGUAGAGCACUGGAUGGGCUAUGGGGACUCACCGUCUUACUGAUCCUAACCAAACUCCGAAUACCGGGGAGUACUACUCGGCAGACACACGGCGGGUGCUAACGUCCGUCGUGAAAAGGGCAACAACCCUAACCUCCAGCUAAGGUCCCCAAGUCAUGGCUAAGUGGGAAAGGAUGUGAGGAUCCCAAAACAACCAGGAUGUUGGCUUAGAAGCAGCCAUCAUUUAAAGAAAGCGUAACAGCUCACUGGUCUAAAUAAGGGUCUUUGCGCCGAAAAUGUAACGGGGCUGAAGCCAUGCACCGAAGCUGAGGAUUUGCGAGCAAUCGCAAGUGGUAGCGGAGCGUUCCGUAAGCUGAUGAAGGGAGACCUGUGAGGGCUCCUGGAGGUAUCGGAAGUGCGAAUGUUGACAUGAGUAACGAUAAAGAGGGUGAGAGACCCUCUCGCCGAAAGACCAAGGGUUCCUGCUUAAAGUUAAUCUGAGCAGGGUUAGCCGGCCCCUAAGGCGAGGCAGAAAUGCGUAGUCGAUGGGAACCACGUUAAUAUUCGUGGGCCUGGUGGUAGUGACGGAUUGCACAAGUUGUUCUGGUUUAUUGGAUUAUCAGGGCAGCGGAGCGGUUCCAGGAAAUAGCUCCACCGUAUAGACCGUACCCGAAACCGACACAGGUGGUCAGGUAGAGUAUACCAAGGCGCUUGAGAGAACUAUGUUGAAGGAACUCGGCAAAUUGCACGCGUAACUUCGGAAGAAGCGUGACCCCAUUUUACGCAAGUAUGAUGGGGUGGCACAGACCAGGGGGUAGCGACUGUUUAUCAAAAACACAGGGCUCUGCGAAGUCGCAAGACGACGUAUAGGGUCUGACGCCUGCCCGGUGCUGGAAGGUUAAGAGGAGAGGUGCAAGCUUUGAAUCGAAGCCCCAGUAAACGGCGGCCGUAACUAUAACGGUCCUAAGGUAGCGAAAUUCCUUGUCGGGUAAGUUCCGACCUGCACGAAUGGCGUAACGACUUCCCCGCUGUCUCCAACAUAGACUCAGUGAAAUUGAAUUCCCCGUGAAGAUGCGGGGUUCCUGCGGUCAGACGGAAAGACCCCGUGCACCUUUACUAUAGCUUUACACUGGCAUUCGUGUCGGCAUGUGUAGGAUAGGUGGUAGGCUUUGAAGCGGGGACGCCAGUUUCCGUGGAGCCAUCCUUGAAAUACCACCCUUAUCGUCAUGGAUGUCUAACCGCGGCCCGUCAUCCGGGUCCGGGACAGUGUAUGGUGGGUAGUUUGACUGGGGCGGUCGCCUCCGAAAGAGUAACGGAGGCGCGCGAUGGUGGGC
This 2222-nucleotide ribosomal RNA is filed under the name Rhizobium anhuiense. RNAcentral's name for it is "bacterial LSU rRNA". It matches the Rfam family "Bacterial large subunit ribosomal RNA", at positions 1 to 2321 of the family's 2925-position model. The record is from RNAcentral. Lineage: Bacteria; Pseudomonadati; Pseudomonadota; Alphaproteobacteria; Hyphomicrobiales; Rhizobiaceae.